AUGACAUCGAUGAUCAGCACGGACGAUGCUGCUGCGACAAGCCAUGUCGACGCUCCAGUUCCAGUUACGACGAGGGAUCACGGGGAGGCGGCGGGUGUCGCCGGCAAGGGCGCCGCGUCCGCGGAAGAGCAGGAGCAGGCGGCGGCGAGGCGCGACGUCUUCCUGCUGGCCGGGAUCAGGAAGCUCAUCAAGAGCUUCAGGAGCCUGUCCCACAUCUUCGAGCUGUACAAGGACGAGGAGGAGGAGGACGACGACAUCCAGAUCGGGUUCCCUACGGACGUGGAGCACGUGGCCCACAUCGGGCUGGACGGCUCCAGCAGCGUCGCCAGCCUCAGGGGGAUGGACGGGGCCAGGGAGCUCCUCUCCCUCUCCACCAACAUCUCCCUCCAGCAGUUCGAGUUCGCCAUGGCCUCCAUCGCCGCGCAUGACGACCGCAGCGCCGCCAUAGCAGCUAGCCCGUAA
This 462-nucleotide ribosomal RNA is filed under the name Triticum aestivum (bread wheat). RNAcentral describes it as "partial small subunit ribosomal RNA". Lineage: Eukaryota; Viridiplantae; Streptophyta; Magnoliopsida; Poales; Poaceae. The record is from RNAcentral.